RNAcentral lists this ribosomal RNA (449 nucleotides) under uncultured bacterium. Its description in RNAcentral is "partial 16S ribosomal RNA". It matches the Rfam family "Bacterial small subunit ribosomal RNA", at positions 29 to 523 of the family's 1533-position model. The record is from RNAcentral.
AACGAACGCUGGCGGCAGGCCUAACACAUGCAAGUCGAACGGAUCCUUCGGGAUUAGUGGCGCACGGGUGAGUAACGCGUGGGAACGUGCCCUUAGGUACGGAACAACAGUUGGAAACGACUGCUAAUACCGUAUAAUAUCGAGAGAUCAAAGAUUUAUCGCCUAAGGAUCGGCCCGCGUUAGAUUAGAUAGUUGGUGGGGUAAAGGCCUACCAAGGCGACGAUCUAUAGCUGGUCUUAGAGGAUGACCAGCCACACUGGAACUGAGACACGGUCCAGACUCCUACGGGAGGCAGCAGUGAGGAAGAUUGGACAAUGGGCGAAAGCCUGAUCCAGCCAUGCCGCGUGAAUGAUGAAGGCCUUAGGGUUGUAAAGUUCUUUUAGCUGUGAAGAUGAUGACUGUAGCAGCAGAAAAAGCCCCGGCUAACUCCGUGCCAGCAGCCGCCGUAA